RNAcentral lists this ribosomal RNA (624 nucleotides) under Guignardia sp. GSH5_5_11. Its description in RNAcentral is "eukaryotic LSU rRNA". The stretch from base 268 to 421 matches the Rfam family "5.8S ribosomal RNA". The record is from RNAcentral. Lineage: Eukaryota; Fungi; Ascomycota; Dothideomycetes; Botryosphaeriales; Phyllostictaceae.
GGGGAGAUGUGUCGUACGUGACCUGCGGAAGGAUCAUUACUGAAUUGAAGUAAUUCUCUUGGAAAGGGCUUGGAAAAGGCUUCGCUACCGCGCUGCCGAAAAGAACCUCUCUCACCGUUGUGGACCCACCAUGGAGCUUUGGCGGGUCGACCCGGUUUCGACACGGGCGGAAGGCGCCCUGAGCCCGAGGUCUGAAAUGACUGCUGGCAAAGCGCCCGCCUCUGAAUUUCAUUUUGUGAAGUCCUGAUAUAUCAUUUAAUUGAUUAAAACUUUCAACAACUGAUCUCUUGGUUCUGGCAUUGGUGAGGAAUGCAGCGAAAUGCGAUAAGUAAUGUGAAUUGCAGAAUUAACUGAAUCAUCGAAUCUUUGAACGCACGUUGCGCCCUCUGGUAUUCCGGAGGGCAUGCCUGUUCGAGCGUCAUUUCAACCCUCAAGCUCUGCUUGUUAUUGAGCAACGUCCGCUGCCGGACGUGCCUCGAAGACCUCCGCGACAGCAUCCUAGCCUCAAGCGUAGUACUACAAUAUCUCGCUUUGGAGUGCUGGGCGACGGCCGCCGGACAAUCGACCUUCGGUCUAUUUUUCCAGGUUGACCUCGGAUCAGUGGGAUACCCGCUGAACUUAACU